UCGAGUGGCGAACGGGUGAGUAACACGUGGGUGAUCUGCCCUGCACUUUGGGAUAAGCCUGGGAAACUGGGUCUAAUACCGAAUAUGAUCAUGCGCCUCCUGGUGUGUGGUGGAAAGCUUUUGCGGUGUGGGAUGGGCCCGCGGCCUAUCAGCUUGUUGGUGGGGUAAUGGCCUACCAAGGCGACGACGGGUAGCCGGCCUGAGAGGGUGACCGGCCACACUGGGACUGAGAUACGGCCCAGACUCCUACGGGAGGCAGCAGUGGGGAAUAUUGCACAAUGGGCGCAAGCCUGAUGCAGCGACGCCGCGUGAGGGAUGACGGCCUUCGGGUUGUAAACCUCUUUCAGCACAGACGAAGCGCGAGUGACGGUAUGUGCAGAAGAAGGACCGGCCAACUACGUGCCAGCAGCCGCGGUAAUACGUAGGGUCCGAGCGUUGUCCGGAAUUACUGGGCGUAAAGAGCUCGUAGGUGGUUUGUCGCGUUGUUCGUGAAAACUCACAGCUUAACUGUGGGCGUGCGGGCGAUACGGGCAGACUUGAGUACUGCAGGGGAGACUGGAAUUCCUGGUGUAGCGGUGGAAUGCGCAGAUAUCAGGAGGAACACCGGUGGCGAAGGCGGGUCUCUGGGCAGUAACUGACGCUGAGGAGCGAAAGCGUGGGGAGCGAACAGGAUUAGAUACCCUGGUAGUCCACGCCGUAAACGGUGGGUACUAGGUGUGGGUUUCCUUCCUUGGGAUCCGUGCCGUAGCUAACGCAUUAAGUACCCCGCCUGGGGAGUACGGCCGCAAGGCUAAAACUCAAAGAAAUUGACGGGGGCCCGCACAAGCGGCGGAGCAUGUGGAUUAAUUCGAUGCAACGCGAAGAACCUUACCUGGGUUUGACAUGCACAGGACGCCGGCAGAGAUGUCGGUUCCCUUGUGGCCUGUGUGC
RNAcentral lists this ribosomal RNA (930 nucleotides) under Mycobacterium sacrum. RNAcentral's name for it is "bacterial SSU rRNA". It matches the Rfam family "Bacterial small subunit ribosomal RNA", at positions 91 to 1035 of the family's 1533-position model. The record is from RNAcentral. Lineage: Bacteria; Bacillati; Actinomycetota; Actinomycetes; Mycobacteriales; Mycobacteriaceae.